This is a non-coding RNA of Lepisosteus oculatus (spotted gar), 2600 nucleotides long. The record is from RefSeq and is a predicted model, not a curated record. NCBI's taxonomy places the organism in Eukaryota, Metazoa, Chordata, Actinopteri, Semionotiformes, Lepisosteidae.
GUUAAAUGCUUGAGCAGUUUCCCCAACGAUGGAGAGAAGUUUCAGCGACAGUUUCCAAGGCCUCUAAGAGUUGUGCCCCCCUCUUGCUUCUUUCUUGCGUCCUCCUGUGAGCUGCGGGUUAGGCAACAGCCUGGCAGCAUGUGCUGUUAAAAAACGUAAACCCGCCUCCUAGUGGAAGUGGGCUGCCAAUCAGGGACGUUUGCACAAACAGAGGCUCGUGGGAUUCAUCUGUCUGGCAGAUCGCAAGAGCGAGUGGGUGCCUCAGCCCUCAUCAGGUUCUGGGCACGGAUGAUGCACAGGAGAGACGAGCAUGUGUCCCAGCGCUAUCAGGAGUGGAAUGACAUGAACGACAAGGGCCCCCUGUUUAAAUUUUGCAAAAGGCAGGGGGAGGUCUCAUUGAGAGUGACAACUGGGGGAUGCGACAGAAGGGCCCGGCAUUUUCCCAAGUUGUGUGCAUUCAAAAUAAAAAUUACAAAAAAAAAACCCAAUGGUUUCACCGCAGUAAGUUGCUGGUUUUAUUUUUAAAAGUUGUAGAGAGAAGAAAUUGUCAUCUGCUCUUGUGAAACUGCUCUGACUCUUCCACAAUUCCCCUCCCUACACGCAGAAAAACACACAUCACAUCCCCGACUCCUGUAGUGAAAAGAGACAGACUAUUCAUGAUUUGUGUGGGCAUGUUUCUUAAUAAAUCCAGAAGGCUUACCAACAGUAUUUCAACACAGGAUAUAUUUUCCAUAAAUAAUUUGUUCCUUAUUGAUUUCCAAUACUUUGAAAAAUAUGUAGCCGUACUUCUGGGCCUGAAUGUAUCAAGUGUUUAUUUCCCAGUGAAAGUUUUGACAGCCAGAAACCAUAUCUUCUGAUCAAAUUUGAUGCAUUUUAUUUAUCUGUGGAGAGAGGCCUACUUAUCACCAGAAGCGAUGCCAUAAUCGCUACAGUAUUGGGAUUUCCUGCUUGUCAGCCGGUGUGCUGUAUGAGGUUUGUUUUCUCUUGGUUACAGGAGCACAUUAAAGAAAGUUAACUGACUGUAGGACUACUAGCUAGCUGUGGCACAGACCGGGUCCCUCCAGCUGUGUCAAAAACAGAUUACAUGCAAAUACUACCAAGAAAAAACAAAACUGCUGACAAUCAUAAAAAGCCAUGUGAAACGAAGUUCGUAAAUAAAUAUUGGCAUUCAAAGAGAGAACUUGCUUUGUUUGUUCAUAUGAUAAUAGUUGUGCUAUAGUAACAUCGUUACCUGGAAUUUCUUGGGCUGUGUCUGUGCCUCCGUACAUAGUAAUUAUCAUUAUUUACUUAAGUAUUUUUUAUUGCUUAGAUCCUGAUGGUUUUUCCAUCUUCUUCAGUUAUGAGUAUGUCAAGGCUGUAUUAAAAUACAUGCUUUGUGUACGUUUGUGUAUUGAAAUCUUGAGAGAAGCGAAUGUGCCGAUGACUUCAACAUGGUCGGAAUAGAAUCAGAACGGUAUCCAGUUUCUGUGCCGAAUGCCUGCAACCUUCAUGGAAGCACUGAUCCAUCCACAUCACCUUUCGGAAGUAUUACUGUAAGGAAUGACCUGACACCACCAUCUCCUCUGCCUCUGGGUUGCUCAAUAAAACAAGCGUGUAGGACCAGCUUGGUGAUCAAUGGGGAUCAAAACUAAUGACCGAUGACCUCAAGGAGGAAUCUGGUGCUGUGUCUUGAGCACUUCAUCAGUGAACAUCUUAGAGGGAGAAAAAUGCAGUGCAGAGCGUGAUGAUACUGUUGUUCAAGUUCCAGGGAAAGUGGGACUUGGAAAGGAUGACUUGUUUUUAGUACAGCAAUUAUUACUGUAUUGUUUCUGUAUUGUAUUCAUGUAGAAAGUAUGGAGUGCUACCCAAUUAUUACAGUGCAAGAGAGAACAAUCAAAAUGUCUUUUGGAUGAUUGUCAAAACUGCUGAAUGAGAUUUGCUUGACAGUGAAGAAAAACCAUGCUUUUUCUCAGUGACAGGUCAUUGGUGAAAAGAGUUUCACUUUGCUGUCAGCAAAGAGCUCUUAAUUUUAGGUGAGCAGCUAGAGUUCUUAAAGAGAAUUACUUACCCUGAUACACCAUUGUUUUCAGAAUCUUUUCUGGGAUAAUUCUGAAACCACCUAUUGGUUGUGGGAAAAUGUCUGUGCUGUUAUGAACUUCAAUUGAUUGAGUUCCUAUUUAAAAUAUUUAGAUUGCACAGAGCAUAGGAUUAACUACAUCUGCAUUGUUCAAAGAAUGACAAAUAACAGCAUAUGUGGCUGUGUAACCUAUAUUCUUACUAUAGCAAUGAUGAAACACUUAGGAAAGGCAUAGAACAGAACAAUCCCUUUGACUGCAUUUGUGAAUGACUGAAAUUAAUCUUUAAACUAGAAUGAUGUCCAUAUUUCCAAAAAGGCACACACACUUAAAACACAGCGUUAUCUGUGUUGUUGUAAUUGUAUGUUUCAGAUCAUGAUUUUAUGUAUUUAUGUGUUUUUGUUGAUGUGACAGAGAAACUUUAAAACAUGACAAUAGAUAAUGCCAUUAUAAAAUAAUAAUAAUAUUCCUGGUGUUCAUAAAUCCUGAAUAUUAUAAUACCUGCUGUUGUCCUUUGGUACCAGUAAACACAUACAACCCUUAUGA